This 497-nucleotide ribosomal RNA is filed under the name uncultured bacterium. RNAcentral describes it as "partial 16S ribosomal RNA". It matches the Rfam family "Bacterial small subunit ribosomal RNA", at positions 28 to 507 of the family's 1533-position model. The record is from RNAcentral.
GAUGAACGCUGGCGGCGUGCCUAAUACAUGCAAGUCGAGCGAACAGACGAGGAGCUUGCUCCUCUGACGUUAGCGGCGGACGGGUGAGUAACACGUGGAUAACCUACCUAUAAGACUGGGAUAACUUCGGGAAACCGGAGCUAAUACCGGAUAAUAUAUUGAACCGCAUGGUUCAAUAGUGAAAGACGGUUUUGCUGUCACUUAUAGAUGGAUCCGCGCCGCAUUAGCUAGUUGGUAAGGUAACGGCUUACCAAGGCAACGAUGCGUAGCCGACCUGAGAGGGUGAUCGGACACACUGGAACUGAGACACGGUCCAGACUCCUACGGGAGGCAGCAGUAGGGAAUCUUCCGCAAUGGGCGAAAGCCUGACGGAGCAACGCCGCGUGAGUGAUGAAGGUAUUCGGAUCGUAAAACUCUGUUAUUAGGGAAGAACAAAUGUGUAAGUAACUAUGCACGUCUUGACGGUACCUAAUCAGAAAGCCACGGCUAACUACGUG